GUGACCAGGCCUGGAUCGCCCUCGGCCUGGGGGUGAGACCCACCUCCCAGCCUUUAGUGCCCUGAGCCAGCCUUCUGCCUUCUGAGAAACCCCAUUCUCUCCUCUCUCUUUCUCCUCAGCAGCGGCAAGAAAAGAUGUGGGGAGGCAAGAAUUGGCGCGAUCUAAGGAUGCAGUUUUUAAGUCAGAGUCGCCCAGCAAUCAAGUAACUUCCGUCUGCACAGCGUUUUGGAGAGCUUUCAACUGGGUGAAAUCCUCGCACAAACCUCAGAGAGGUUCAGAGAGGUUUUGGUUGUUGCCUACCCUGCAGCCUGCAUACUUUCAACGUAUGCAGGCUUUUCAAGCUCUGAAGACUCGGAGCUGCCAUUCAGAGAAAAACUUCUGCAAGGAAAGUUUAAAGCCGCCAGUUGCUGGGUCCAGUCCCCCUUGGUCAGGCCAAAGAGAGGAUGGCACAUAGAAGUCUGGAAUGAAACAGACAGAAAGAGCCAGAGUGUGAAAGUUUCUUCAAGAGAUACCUUCAGAUUGAUG
Long non-coding RNA from Hippopotamus amphibius kiboko, 525 nucleotides. RefSeq lists it as uncharacterized. Lineage: Eukaryota; Metazoa; Chordata; Mammalia; Artiodactyla; Hippopotamidae. The transcript has 3 exons. The record is from RefSeq and is a predicted model, not a curated record.